GUCAGAUAUUUUUUUUUUUUUGUGCAGACGGAUAUUAAGUAGUCAUUAGGUAACUCUCACUGUUCUUAAACUUCGAGUGUAAAAUUCUGUAGAGCAAUGUUUGAAGUGCCGUAACUUGAGAAAUAAUGUAGCUAGAGUCCUGAAAGUUUGCACCCUAAUUGAUUAGAAUGUGAUCUUCAAUGAUACAACCCAGUUUUGAUAAAAUAAUACAAACCAGUAGUAUGAUGUCGCAAAUUUGGUCAAAAAAUGUCCAUUAUUUUCUGUUUCAAUAUUCCACCAACCAUAAAACCCCUAUUUUUCACCCUAAGAGGCUGAUUUUUUUUCCUGUGAUUGGCACCACCCAAAGACAGCAUUCUAAAUUUGAACAUCUCAGACAAAAAGUACAUCUAACAACACUCCUUUGUCAGUGGAAAGCUUUGUGAAUUUGAUUGUCUGAUCAUUUAAAAAUCCUGCCACAAACUUUAGAAGGUUGUAAAGGUCUUCAUCGUAUCAUUCCCUUUGACGAAAUACAGUAGUGGUUAAGGAACUUUACAUUUGACUUGUUUUCCUUUUUCUUUUAGAUCUGGGUCACCGCUGGAAUCCAUAACUUCCACAAAGGACCAUGCUAUAGUCGGGUCGUGGAGGCAGCAGAGGAAGCAGGUCAUUCCAGACGUCCCACUCCUCAGUAACGCUUUCCAGCUCUUCCUACGGGAUCCCGAGGUGUUCCCAGGCCAGAUGAGAUACAUAAUCCCUCCAGCGAGUUCUGGACCUGCCCUGGGGUCUCCUCCCAGGUGGAUGUGUUCGGAAAACCUCCAAAGGAAGGCUCCCCAGAGGCAUAUGAGUCAGAUGUCCAAACCACCUCAACUGGCUCCUUUUGACACGAAGGAGCAGCGGCUCUACUCCGAGCUCCCUCCGGAUGUCCGAGCUUCUCACCCUAUCUCUGAGGCUGAGCCCAGUCGCCCUGCAGAGGAAGCUCAUUUCAGCUGUUUGUAUCUGCGAUCUUGUUCUUUCAGUCACUACCCAGAGCUCAUGACCAUAGGUGAGGAUUGGGACGUAGAUAGAUGGUAAAUAGAGAGCUUCGCCUUGUGGCUCAGCUCCCUCUUUACCACAACGGUUAGAUACAACGCCUGCAUUACUGCUGAUGCUGCACCAAUCCUCCUGUCCAUCUCACGCUCCAUUUUCCCAUCGCUCAUGAACAAGAUCCUGAGAUACUUGAACUCCUUCACUUGGGGAAGCACAUGUGGACUGGCAGGUCGAAUUCCCAUGACCCCCUCAGCAGCUCUGCAAGAGUAAAGAGCUGAUCCACCGCUCCACGACCAGGACGGAAUUUGCGUUAGAUUGACUACUGUGUGGAGUAUUUCUUUCUUCCACAUCGAACUUACGUAUUUGCAGUCAUUUGAUUGCUGCAGUUCCUCCGUUUGCUUCAUUAUUUAACUUUAUAGUUGCUGAAACGGCACCUGUCCAAUGCAGAUAUCUGUAUUUGAACUAUACAGAGCAGUUUCUGCUGAAUUUGCAGGUCAGUAAUUGGAAAUUGCAGCCCAUAUGGUAACUAAUUGCUUCUUGUAAUUACUUUCUUCUACAUAACUUUCUUACUGGACUAAAGAAAAUUCAGUGUUUUAACUGAAAAAGUAAGGAUUAUGUAUGUAAGAGUCUGACUGUUUUUGGGAGAGCAAACCUCAGUGUUCCUGUUUUGUGAUACUUCCAUGAACUGCCACAGAGGGAGCUGUUGUCUGUGCCCAGUUCAGAGACUCUUUUAUGAAUAAUUCAGAGACCUUUAUUUAAAGCAGUGGUAAUAACAUUCAGCUAAUAAUCACAAGACUCAUGAUCUCAUGAUCCUCAAGGUGUGAAUUCACACCUUGAGGAUCAUGAGCCUUGGGUUGAUAACAGUCUGUGACCCGUGAUAUGGAAUGGCAAUACCUACAUGUUGCAUAAGUUGGAGGACUCACUACGUAACGAAAGCAAAGAAAGAAACUGAACAGAUGUUUUUAUUCAGUGUUAAAUUUAACAAGAAGAAAAAGGCAAGGACAGAAAGAUAAAAAAGAAAGAAAAAAUUAUUUUAAAUCAGUUUGAUUUUCAGCGCAGCAUAUUUAAACUGCAUAGAACGGUGAAUUGAAGCCACACUGUCAAUGCCAAACAUUACAAAAUGUGUAAGCAAUUUUAAAUAUAACACCAAUGUAACACUUAAAUCUUAAGACAUGAACAUUAGAAAAAUAUCACACAGGACUAUUAGGCAAACACAUUGAUACUUAAAUCAGUUUCGUCUGUCUGUCUGUCUGUCUGUCUGUCUGUCUGUCUGUCUGUCUGUCUGUCUGUCUGUCUGUCUGUCUGUCUGUGGGAGACAUGUGAUCCCACAUUUCGCCUUAAAAGCUCACGAACAAAACUUCAGUGUUUGUGAUCAUCCCGCGUCUAUGCUGUGUCACAUGUAAAACAGCUUCUUUAUUUUACUACACUAAUGCAUUUUUUAAAAAAGGAUGUGAUUUUUUAAUUUUUUUGUGAGUAGUUACAUUCAUGGUUCAGUACAUAAAAACUACCUGUAACUCUUACAGGUCUUGGUUAAUUAAGAAUAUGGUAAAAUAUUCGGAAUCUUCCAGCUCUCUAAGAAGAAACACAAAAUUGCAACUUUUAUAGAAAAAUAGAGAACAAAGAAACUCACUUUCAUUGGCCAGUGUUCAAGAGAUGGCAGGUCUGACCUUAUAGAAACUCUGUAAAGCAUAUAACAGUAUAUUAACACUAGUACUGUCUUGCAGCACAGAACAUUUCUUGUAAGGAUCCAUUUCAUUUUCCACCCCUCUGACCCCACAAACAAAUCCAUCCAGCUUAGCUCACACAUAUGAUGUGCUCAAAAUGCUCUAUAAUAAAUACAUCACAUCACAGACACAUGCUGAGGUGAGAUUGUGCUUCAGCUUUAAAUGUGAACACAGCUGUAAACGCUGUACAACCACAGGCACACUCACUUUAAACGCUUGAGAUGAGAAGGAACUGAAACUGCACCUUGCACUGCUGCACUUAAAUCAGUCUGUUGCAUGUAUAUUUUCUUACUUUUAAUGUAUUUUUACUAUUUUUUUAAUGCACUGUAUAUUUUACUGACCAUGUCUUUUAAUGUUGACUUUUAAGCCGGUACUACCAACAAAAUUUCAUUAUGUAACUG
Amphiprion ocellaris (clown anemonefish) is the source of this 3127-nucleotide long non-coding RNA. The record is from Ensembl. NCBI's taxonomy places the organism in Eukaryota, Metazoa, Chordata, Actinopteri, Pomacentridae.